RNAcentral lists this long non-coding RNA (898 nucleotides) under Homo sapiens (human). RNAcentral describes it as "HSALNT0240486". Lineage: Eukaryota; Metazoa; Chordata; Mammalia; Primates; Hominidae. The record is from RNAcentral.
GGGGAGUCCAGGAGACAGAGGGCACAAGUAGAGAGCCAGGGUGGGUGGGGGACAAGCCCAGAGGGCCGCCCAGCAGACCCAGGCUGCUGGGAGAGUGACACUGAUGAGGAAUCUCCAGGUUCUUGAAACAGCCUCCGCAACUUGCAAGGGUUGGGAUAGGGGCUUCCCGAGGCAGGAUGACGGGGAGCAGGGGCUGCCUGGCAGGGCCAAAGCUCAGGGUCUCUGCUUCCCUCCUGGGUCCUGGUCUCUUGAGUAGAACCAGAAACUUCUAAGUUGGAGCAGUGGGGAGGGGAGCUCAGCCUCCACCCCACCCAGGGGAAAUUAGACCAGACUUCCCAGGAAAUAAUUUCAAUUUUCCAGCAUCAUGGAAGCCUAGUCGGACAAUAGAGGAUUUUUUCCCCCCAAAAAAUUUUUAAAAAAGCACAAAAAAACUCCAAUUGCCUUUGGCUGAGCUGUUUUCCAACUUCAUUUCUCAGCCACAGUUCAAAACUUCUCAUUCAAAGUGACAUGUGACUGCUCUGUGACCCUGGUCCGCUCGGCCACCGGCCCUGUGAGGGGUCAGGCCAGGCCAGCACAGAACUCGAGCUCCCAGAAUCUGUGACCACCCCCACUCCCAAAAGCCUUCCGAGGUCUGCUCUGGAGACAAGGCCCGCAGGACUGUCUCUGGGCAGCCCCAGCGCCUCACAAUGAGGGAGGGGCUGCGGUGGAAACAAACCUGCCUCUGAAAGAGAGGAGAGUUUAGGGGCGGGUGAUUCCUACAGCCCAGGCCCAGGCCCACAGGGGUUUAUGUUACAAUAUAAACUGGGGCUUUAACAACUUUGAGACAGUUUCUUAUUUUUAGGGUUGGGGCGGGGAGUGGAGGUUGUCUUAAGAAUGCAAAUGGGGCAGGGCACAGUGG